GAGUGUGAAGGCUUUAUCCUUCCUCUCGGAUAUACCAAUGAUGCACACAUUGAAAACCAAUUGAUUUAUCGGUUGGUAGCGGCCAGACAACCGUAGGGAUGUGGUAUCCACAGAUAGCGGGUUUAAUUCAGUCCCGACUUGUCUACUAACUCCAUCUCACAUAU
Molecule: small nucleolar RNA, 164 nt
Organism: Papaver somniferum (opium poppy)
Lineage: Eukaryota; Viridiplantae; Streptophyta; Magnoliopsida; Ranunculales; Papaveraceae
Product: small nucleolar RNA snoR143
Exons: 1
Source: RefSeq, a predicted model, not a curated record